This 253-nucleotide ribosomal RNA is filed under the name uncultured bacterium. RNAcentral's name for it is "partial 16S ribosomal RNA". It matches the Rfam family "Bacterial small subunit ribosomal RNA", at positions 524 to 776 of the family's 1533-position model. The record is from RNAcentral.
UACGUAGGGGGCAAGCGUUGUCCGGAAUCAUUGGGCGUAAAGCGCGUGUAGGCGGUCCGGUAAGUCGGCUGUGAAAGUCCAGGGCUCAACCCUGGGAUGCCGGUCGAUACUGCCGGACUAGAGUUCGGAAGAGGCGAGUGGAAUUCCCGGUGUGGCGGUGAAAUGCGCAGAUAUCGGGAGGAACACCAAUGGCGAAGGCAGCUCGCUGGGACGUUACUGACGCUGAGACGCGAAAGCGUGGGGAGCAAACAGG